GGCGCCGGCAGCAGCGCGUGUGCCUGGGCGAGUUUUCCUUCCGCAGGUGCCAGCAGCCGGGGCGCCGCCGCCCAAGCUGACUCCUCUCUCUCCCUCUCUGACCCCGGCAGGGCCCAGAGGUGAUUCUGCCUGCACGAUGUCCUCCUUCCUGGAGACGAGCUCUUCGCAGGCGCCACGUCGCGAACAAAAAGAGAAAAGAAAAA
Molecule: long non-coding RNA, 203 nt
Filed under: Rattus norvegicus (Norway rat)
Lineage: Eukaryota; Metazoa; Chordata; Mammalia; Rodentia; Muridae
Description: long non-coding RNA NONRATT029134
Source: RNAcentral